Molecule: transfer-messenger RNA, 248 nt
Filed under: uncultured Bartonella sp.
Lineage: Bacteria; Pseudomonadati; Pseudomonadota; Alphaproteobacteria; Hyphomicrobiales; Bartonellaceae
Description: partial ssrA
Rfam family: Alphaproteobacteria transfer-messenger RNA
About the family: Bacterial tmRNA, also known as 10Sa RNA or SsrA, is named for its dual tRNA and mRNA-like properties. Its role is to liberate the mRNA from a stalled ribosome.
Source: RNAcentral
UUGGACCCGGGGGCGGUACCCGGCGCCUCCACGAAAGUUUAUCUAAUAUGGAUAGAUUUUUAUGGGGGCGAAAUUAGGAUCGACAAAGGCGUAAAGAUUGCUCUUUUACCCGGCAUUGCACCACCGUUAUCGGGCUCAAUAAAUAGUUGCAAACGACAACUAUGCAGAAGUACGUCUCGCUGCUUGAUAUAGCGCGAAUACUUCAAUUUAACUCUUAAACCAUUGCGGGUUUAAGCGGGGUUCGAAGG